RNAcentral lists this long non-coding RNA (1405 nucleotides) under Taeniopygia guttata (zebra finch). RNAcentral describes it as "lncRNA (ENSTGUG00000026641.1)". Lineage: Eukaryota; Metazoa; Chordata; Aves; Passeriformes; Estrildidae. The record is from RNAcentral.
AAAGCUGGAGCUCUUUAAAAUUGCUGAGGCAAUCCUCGAGCGCCGUGACUCGUUACCAAGUAGGGAGUUUUUGGAGCUCUUGGAGGAUUUUUGCCUGGUGAUCCUUGAGCAGAGGCGACCACUGCGGAGCAGCGGCGAUCUGAAACUCUGUGAGGAGCCUUACUGUGACACACUGCCACGUGCAGAGAGCACACACGAGCACUGCUUUGCACUGCCUGUGCUGGAGCUCUGAGGGGGAGUCUGGAGGCCUCAAGCACGAAAAGCCGUUCCUGAGUGACACCUGAAACCGAAGCUCUGAGGGGACCUCCCGCAAAGUCCUGAGCGCUGACUGGAGUGUACGUCGGAACUCAACAGAGGACCCUGCUUCUGCAACAUCGAGGUGAAGGACUCAAGUGGGUCCCAGCAAAGAAUGUGAAGCCCUACCACACACUGAAAUCCGCUGCCACGCCUGCACCAGGCAGUACUUCAGCAAGUACAAGCCAAGAAGCAAGCACCCAGACCUGAACUGCGCAGAGUCAUCAAGAGAAAAUGACCUGCCAGAAACAGCCUGAGAAAAGAAUGGAGUUUCAUUGUUUGCAUGCGUGCAUGUUGCUUUUUUUCUUUUGUUUUAGUUUUUAUAUUUAGUAGUAAUUGUAGUUUUAGUAGCAAUACCCUGUAUACAUCAGAGUGUGCAGAAAAUAGUGAUUAGGUCAAUAUCUAAUAUCUUUAGUUGUUCAUCAGAAUGGUGGAGAUGUUGGGAAGGAUGAAUAAAUAUGAUUGCCUGACAAAAGAUUCACAAUAGUACAGCCAGGAUGAAAACAAUCCCCCCCUACUGGUUGGACAAUGCCCUUACCUACAGAUGGGUCCAAAAGUCAAAUGGACUGUUUCAUCUCAACCCCCAAAAUGUAUGGUUCAUCCCACACCUGUAACCCUCCCCUGAAACAUCAGGUGUCUGUGACCCCAUUGGCCUAAGUCUUGUUCCAGCCCACCUUGGAGCCCCCUGAUAAGGGGUCUCUGAGGGGCCAGACGCUCUCUUGCAACUUCCACCCUCUUGGAACUUCCACCCUCUCCUAGAGCAUCCUCUCUACCCCUUGUCUCUCCCCUCCCCCAUUCCCUCAGGCCUUGCCACAUGCUGCAUCUGGCAGCUCCAGGCAAGACCUUUCACCACCCCUAAUAAACCUUAUAUUCUAAGAGCAGCCUUCAGAGAUCUCUUGUUUCCAUUCAUCAAAGCCGUCCUGGAGCCCAGCUUUCCCUACAGCAGAUUAUUUGGAAAGUGCCCAUGUAAGUAUGUAUACUUUAUAUGCUUUAUAAAGUAUAAAGCGUAUGCUUUCCUUCCUAAGUGCUUCUCAAUGUUAGCUCUGCAGAGAGUGAAUAUUGCAAAAUCUGUAAAACAGGAAUACCAGAUCUUUGAUCAUCAUUAAAAUGC